Podarcis lilfordi (Lilford's wall lizard) is the source of this 7934-nucleotide non-coding RNA. Lineage: Eukaryota; Metazoa; Chordata; Lepidosauria; Squamata; Lacertidae. The record is from the annotation of a GenBank genome assembly.
AGAAACAAUGUUAAAUCAGUACAGAGACCAAGAUGGCCAAGUUGAUGCUUCUUACCGGUAAGUACAAAUCUGAAAUUCAUAAAAUGGUGUAACUUUUCUCUGCUGGUGGAAGAAGCUCAUUCUGUAAUUCUCAUUCUUUACUUUUCCAUGCAUAUUCUAUUAUUUAAAAGAGAACAGCUUUUAAUUAACUGAAUGGAUUUCAAAAUAACUGAGCAAGUUUAUUUUAUUCUUGCUAUUUUAUAGCAAAGAUUUCAUUCACUACCAUAUUUCCUUACAAAACCAGAAGUGUUGCUUCCCUCCAUUCCAUAGUGUGGAGAGAAAGCUUUCUUUGUUCGGGAUAUUUGGAAAUCAGGAAUUCCCUCCAUUGGAGAAUAGCUCAGUGGAAAAGCACAUGCUUUGCAUGCAAAGAGUCUCUGGUUCAGUCCCUUGUGUCUCCAGAUAAGGUUGGGGAAAAUUCCUGGAGACCCAAGUAUGUUCCCUGUAAUACUGACAACUGAAAAUCUUGCAGAUUUUUAUUCAGUUGUAUCAACCCCUUCUUUUCCCACUAUUAAUUUCAGUUUUUGAAAAUUCCUGCAUAAUACUUAGCAAUGAAGUCCAUGGAUACCUUUGAGGUACAAAUUAUGGAAGAAAAUGAAUUAUUCCUCCUCCAAGUAGCAUGCACAGUGUAAAUUAUACCUCCAUUACAAUUCAUUUGAAAAUUCAAGCAGUUAAAGUGCUUCUAUUUAAAAUCGUGUUUGAAUAACUAUAUAAUGUAGCGGUCAAUAUAAGGCCUACAACAAAGUCUUUCAUCAAAACAGAAAUUGUUUGCCACUCUUCUCAAUGUUAAAUAGUGAUACACUAUGAUUUCUAAACAACUCAUAAAAGUUUAUACAUAUUUAACUUACAAAUUAUUCCCUUUUUCUUUAUAGGUCUGGUGCUCCUGCUGAAUGCACAAAUAGGUAUGGAAAGCAGCUCUUUAAAUUAAUGUCUAUGUGUCACCUAGUCGCUUCCUGUGUUGGAGUGACAGCCUGGGUGAUGGGCCAUUAAGGAAAACAAAGGAAAGGGGCUCUAUGUGAGGCAGCAAAUGGGUGGGCCCUUCCCUCAACUCAUAGAUAGUUAGAAGGACAAAGCCUGAGUUUAGAGUUGAGUUGCAGUGAUGUGACCUAGAGGUAAAGCACCUCUUGAGAGCAAUGUUUGAUUUCCAUUUGAAUCCAAGGCUGUAAUUUUGGGAGAAACAAGAGCUUCUGUGGGUGUUAAUGCUGUGAACCCCUCCAUCAUAGGUGCAGGUUGCAUAUAUGUGUAAAUAAACCCAAUAUUAUAAAAACACCACAGUCUCCACAGUGGCAGGCUGUGGUCUUUUCAGUGGAGCCCAUAGCCUUUUGUGGUAUUUUGCAUUUCCCUAAACGUUGCAACACAGUUCCCAGCUUUCAAAACCAUUAAAGGGGAUUUUGAAAUGCAUAUUUUGAAAGAAAAUAUGUUUAGAAAAUUAGUGCAUUUACAUUACACUAAGCUGCAUGUGUCUAUCUCUAAGAAUAUUGCAGCAAUCCCUCCUAAAUAUCACAGCAAUGAAUGCUCUUCUGCACCUACUAUAAUGACAUGCCGAAUCUGCAAUAUAUACUAAGACCUGGCAGAUAUACAUGUUUUAUUAUUGCUGAAGAAAAUACGCACUUGUCUUUCUUCUCCUCACCCUUCAGUCUUGCUCAAUUCCAUUUAAACUUUUAUUAUAACCUGUCCUAUUUGUCUUGAUAGGUUCUGCCUAUGUGCUAUCAUGCUACUUCACCAACUGGGGCCAAUACAGACCAGGCCUUGGGAAAUACAAGCCCGACAACAUUGACCCUUGUCUGUGUACUCACCUGAUCUAUGCCUUUGCUGGGAUGCGCAACAAUGAGAUUGCAACCAUUGAAUGGAAUGACGUCACUCUUUAUAAAUCUUUCAAUGGCUUGAAAAAUCAGUGAGUAUCCAUGAAUAAUGGUCACCCGCCCUUCCCACAUUCUGCUUCUGCCUUGUUUAUAUGAGGCUCAACUGGAACAGAAGGCACUAUCAUAUGCCUUCCUGCCCAGAGGGAUCCAAUGGCCAGUGUUGUAACCUAGCUGAACCUAGCGCUACAUAGAACAAAGAAGCAAGAAAGUUUGAGUACAUGUGGAGCUACGAUACUACAAGGUUGUCAGCUGAUGUUGGGAUGCAAACCAAUAAUAAAAAGUGACUCAUUCUAGACUACUUGACAGAUCGUCUGACAUAAGAAAAUGGGGUUCAAGAUUAUAAAAACAAACACAAAAUAGAUAGCAAGAUGGCACCAACUCGGGACUCCUUGUUCCAGAAAUAGGGUAGAUUUAAUCUCUGCAAUCUCUUCCAUGACAGGAAUGGGGACCUGAAGACUCUUCUGGCAAUUGGAGGCUGGAACUUUGGAACAGCACCGUAAGUUGAAGCAACGCUUGCAUACUUCAUCCUAGUAAUAGAGAAAAGAAUGCACAUAAUAAGUAGGUAAUUAUCUUCUACCCUCUUAUGGCCACAUUACAGAUUCACUGCAAUGGUUGCCACUCCUGAGACCCGCCAGACCUUCAUCAACUCUGUCAUCACUUUCUUGCGCCAGUACGAGUUUGAUGGGCUGGACUUUGACUGGGAGUACCCUGGCUCUAGAGGCAGCACCCCUCAGGAUAAGUCCCUCUUUACUUUAUUGGUUAAGGUAAAACCACUGAUUAUGUUGUUCUUAUUUCACCACCACCACCCAGAAAGGGAGAAGCCAGAUUGGAUAGUUUAGCAUCAAUUUAUCUCUGCCUUUAUUCUCCUAACCUAGGGUGGCUAAAACCAAAUACUGUGGACCACAACACCCACUGCUCCUGACCGUUGACCAUUGCUGGCUAAGCUGAUGGGAGUUGUAGUCCACAAUAAAGCGCACCAUAUUGCCUACUGCUGCCCUAAAGUCAAGGAAGGAAGUCACUCUCACCAGCAGAGAUGAGUGGUCCCGUUGCCAUAGCAGCAUAACAAUAAUGCUACAUAGGGCUACAACAUUUAUGCUGCUAUCCUACACACAACCACUUGGGUGUAAGCCCUACAGAAGAUGGUGGAGCCUGUUUCUAAGUUAGCAUGUGUACGACUGUCCCAUUACUCAGUUAAUAGGUUUUAUCAAUCUUUUAAAACCUUGCUAUCAAUUAAAAAUUGCCUCAGAUUGAUGGGGUCUUUAUUUUUAAUAUCAUUAUCUACAAAAACCAAAACUGGUGAGCAUCAUUUUAGAAGAGACAGGCUUUCAUCUAUCUCACAGAGAAGUGAGCGCCUCUUCUAAAAUGGUGCUUCCUGUGACAACACCUAAAACAGGAGUGGGGCAACUUGUGGUCCUCCAGUUGUUGUUUCACUACAGCUCCAAUCAGCAUAAGCUAGCAUGGCCAGUGGUCAGGGAUGGUGGUAGACCAACAACAUCUGCAGGGCCACAGGUUCCUCACCUCUUAGUUUUUUCAAGAAAUUUUUAUUCAUAGGCAUUUUUUAUAGUCUGAAAUUGUCACUUUAAUGAUUUUGUUGACUAAAAUUCAUAGGAUUGACUCAAAACCCGAACAGUAAGAAGAGUGUGGGGCUCUGUCAGAAAAUUCACAUUUACCUUACUGUUUGCUUUGUAGGAAAUGUUGGAAGCCUUUGAGAAGGAAGCCAAACAAGUGAACAGACCCAGACUCAUGGUCACUGCUGCUGUUGCUGCUGGUCUUUCCAAUAUUGAGUCAGGCUACCAGAUUCCUGAGCUUGGCCAGUAAGUACAGUAUUUUAGGUACUUUGUCUCUCUCUCUCUCUCUCUCUCUCUCUCUCUCUCUCUCUAAAUUUAACUUCUGUCUUUUGUAUAUGCAUAGGUGAAGAUACCCUUACAAUUAAUGUUAUUUUGAAUCAUCUGAUGUGUGUCAUAUUGUUUAUCAGUUGCACACUGUGCAUUAAAGUGAAACCAAGCCAGUAUGUCUCAUUGGUAAAAUCACUAUGCCAGCGUCACUGUCAUAGAGGCAGCUGCAGUAUUAGCAUACUGGCUGGUUUUAGGAGAACAGUGUACCUUACAGCCAGUCCUAGUACACAGAGUUACUUCAGGAGACAAGGCAGCCACAGAUACUAUUUCCUCUGUUGAUUACUUUAAUAAAGCACCAAAACAUUGAUAGUGCUAUAGAUAUUCAUCCUGAAGGACAAACCUAAGAAGGUUGGCUAAAAAAACCCAAUGAUCAAAUAUUCCAAAGUCAAAGUCACAAUAAUGAUCUGUUUUGAAGAGCAAACUGUGCCUGUGAUGGGCUUACACUAUGGAACUGCAUUUAUGGGUCUAAUUAUACAUCAAAUGCUAUCAUAUAUAGUCAGAAAAAAGAAUGGUGGUGCUACUGCAUAGCAGAAAAUGGGCUAUGGUCUAGAGAGGUAAUGUUUAUGGAAGAUGAGACUGCAAAAGCCUUAGAAGCAUAGAGUUUAUUCAACAUAUUACUAAUAGUUGCAAAGAAGAAGAAGAAGAACUGGACACAGAUACAUUUAAUCUCGUCACAGGUAUCUGGACUAUUUCCAUGUGAUGACCUAUGACUUCCAUGGCUCCUGGGAGAGAUACACUGGAGAGAACAGCCCUCUGUACAGAGGUCCUGCAGACACUGGUGGAAACAUCUACUUCAAUGUUGUAAGUUGAAAGUAGGGCUGGGGGAGACAUUUAAAGGUCAAUCUGCCUAAUUUGCACUUUUUGAAACAACAUGUAAACUGAAACAUAGCCAUCCCUUGAAAUUCACACUUUUCCAAAUAUUGCAAUGCAAUUCUUCAGGAAAAUAAUGUGUCAAAAGUACAUAUACUAGAAUAAGAUGUGCAUUAAAAAAUAAUACGCUAGUGAACAUAACAUACAAAAAGGCAUUGUAUUAGGGAAAAUUGCUUUGCAAAAAAAAUGUGUAUAAGGCAAAAGUGCUUGCUUUAAUGAAAAUCAUACGCUGAUACGGAAAUGUGGAGAACCAAAUUUAAGGGUGAAAAAAUAAGAAACUGAGAGAGAAAACCUGCAACUGGCAGAUUCACUCAUCCCAAGCUGGAAGCCUAUUUUUAUAGGGUGCUUCAAAGCCUGCCAGGAACUAAACCUAAAAAAAAUGAAGAAAUUAACAUUCCACUUUGCAAGCAGAGAGUAACACAUGAUUUGCCUUUGUAGGACUAUGCCAUGAACUACUGGAAGAAGAAUGGUGCCCCAGCUGAGAAACUCAUUGUUGGAUUCCCAACUUAUGGACACACCUUCAUCCUCAGCGAUCCAUCCAACACAGCUGUUGGUGCUCCCACAACUGGCGCUGGGCCUGCUGGACCAUACACAAGACAAGCUGGCUUCUGGGCUUACUAUGAGGUUUGUUCACUUUUCCCACCACAAUCCAUUAAAACAUUUAUUUGCAUCACACUAUACAGAUGAAGAAUAUAAUUCUAAAGAUAGGCCAAUCAAAUAAGAAAUCCUACAAAGAUGCUACAACUAAAUUUUGGCCUAAUAGCUUGGAAAAUAUGCUGUUUGCACAAAACCAGUGGUGCAAAAAAUGUUUCUAAAGCUUAGUAGCCAUUCCUCCAUAGGGAUCAAGGGACCAUUUUUUGUAUGGAUAUCACUAGCUAGGGCACCUGGGUUUUAGCAUUUCUGCUCAAAAUUAUACUGAGAUGAAGUAAUGUGGCUAAUGCACACUGGUUUUUGGGGUAGGCAGGAAUUUCAGGUAAAUGAGGACAAGAUAAUAACUUUUUUCACUGUGCAGCCAGCAAGAUAUUCUCAACUCUUGAUACACAUUGUGCCUCCUUUUUAAGCCAUGGAGGAAAUACUUUAUGAAGCCUAUGCAGAUUUGUGCAUUGAUACUUUCAGUUCACUUCUCUGCACUAUGCGCAUAGCAUUAUGAGACAGCAACCAAGACAGUCCUGCAAUGAUUUGCAACGUGCCUUUUUUGUUUCCUCUGUUAGAUCUGCACCUUCCUGAAGAAUGGAGCCACUCAAGCUUGGGAUGCUCCUCAAGAUGUGCCUUAUGCCUACAAGGGAAACGAGUGGCUGGGGUAUGACAACAUUAAGAGCUUCCAGAUCAAGGUAUGGUACCAGUCUCACAAAAGCAUACAUUCAUUCUGGUGCAUUAGAAUGUCUUAGUAGGUUCAUCAAGAGUUUCAAAAUCAAGGUAUGAGGACUAUGGCUGAUGUAAUGCCACUAAGUACAGCUUUUCUAUAUAGUAGAUUGACUUGGGCAUCUUUCUUGGCAUCUGACAGGCUGAGUGGUUGAAGAAGAACAACUUUGCAGGUGCUAUGGUUUGGUCUCUUGACUUGGAUGACUUCACUGGUACUUUCUGCAACCAAGGCAAAUACCCCUUGAUCACCACCCUGAAGAACGCUCUCGGACUGCAGAGUGCUAGUAAGUAGCAGCAGCAGCAGGAAAAGUUCUCAAAACGAUUGUGAAAGCCAAAGUUCCAGCAAAAGUUCAUAAUGCUGAAAAACAAAUCACUGUUACUUAUUUUAGAACUAACCUCCAAACUGAGGUACCAAGAUCAGUUAAGUCACUUUUAGGCUUGUUUAGAACAUGCUCGAUACGUUUCGAUAUCAAUGGUAGCACUUAAAAAACAAAAACAAAAUAGAGAAUGAGAACAGUUGGAUUUGGAAGGUUUCGAAGGGCAAAAAAAUACAAUGCAUUAUUAAAGGAUGGGGGGGAAACAACCAAGAAGAAUUCACCACACCUAUAGAAUCAGGGACCGAUAAGACUCAGGGAGAAAGGGCUGCUGCAGUCCAGAGUGAAAGAGAAGGUAUAUUUUGGAGAUCAUAUCACUGGCACUGAAUGCAGAACCUAUGUAUUCAUAAAUUAAGAAUGUUGGAAGCUGCCUUAUGCUAGGACAGACUAUCAGUCCAUCUAGCUCAGUGUCAUCUAGACCACAGAUCUCAAGGGUCUUUCCCAUCACCAGGUUCUGGACCCUUUAAACUAAAAAUGCCAAAGGCUGAAGCAGGGACCUCCUGCAUGCAAAGCAUGUACUCUGCCACUGAGCUGUAGUUCCUGACCUACUCCACAGAUAGCCAAGUACUUUAGAUUUACAGCCACAGGGACCCUCAAGUUCUGGGAGGAUUUGAGCUGGACUGUACAACUCAUGACCCACCAUCUGUGUAUGAGGUUGAAUUAACCUUCAGUACUUGCUACCUGUUUGGAAACAGAAAAAGACAAGUUCUCAAAAAACUGCCAGGCCACAGUUUAUAGCUGGUGACCUGCAUUCAGCCCAAUGGAUCACAAGUCGUACAGAUCUAGAGUAGAAUGAGAAAUCAGAGGUCUUUUAAAUAAGAUUUUUAAAAGCCUUUUCCUUGUGCUCAUGAUUAAUUGGUGCCCUCUAGAUGUUUAGGAUUAGAAUUCCCAUAAUCCCUGACCAUUAGCCAGGCUGGCUGGAGCUGAUGGGAGUUUCAGAUCAGGAGAUCACCUUCUCUAUUCACACUGAUGUGGAUCACACACUAGGGAGAAAGUACAAGGCAGGUUUUCUUUAUGGAAAAAGCCAAACACAUGUCAUGUAGGCAGAAUCCCUUAAAUCAAGUUCAGAAUGAUGUAGAAUUCACAUUUUGAGCCAGUAGUGAUUAUUUGAGAGACGAAUCAGCUGAGAUGGCUUACCUUCUGCUUCUCUUCCAGGUUGCAAAGCCCCAUCCAAGGCCAUUGAGCCAAUCCCACCAGCCCCCAGCGGUGGUGGAGGAAGCUCCGGUGGCAGCCCAAGCAGUGGAUCUGGUGGCAGCCCAAGCAGUGGCUCCGGUGGCAGCCCCAGCACCGGAGGCAGUGGAUUCUGUGCUAGCAGAGCCGGAGGCCUGUACCCAGACCCAACAGACAAGAACAGCUUUUACCACUGUGUGAACGGCAGGACUUUCCUGCAGCAUUGCCAGACGGGUCUCGUCUUUGAUGCCAGCUGCUCCUGCUGCAACUGGGCAUGAACUGAUCAGGUUUUUUAACUCCAUAGCCUUCCCAAUCUGACAUUCCAUGUAGCUGUAAAAGUGAAAUAAAAUUCAGCAAAACCUAUG